RNAcentral lists this ribosomal RNA (429 nucleotides) under Triticum aestivum (bread wheat). RNAcentral describes it as "partial small subunit ribosomal RNA". The record is from RNAcentral. Lineage: Eukaryota; Viridiplantae; Streptophyta; Magnoliopsida; Poales; Poaceae.
AUGUUCCAGAUCAGAUACACGCUCAAAGUUCUAUUUGGCGUACAAAUUAUUACGCCGGAGAGUCCACAUGGCACAGGCGCGGGGAAAGCCUUUGUGAGUUUCAAGCGCGGCAAAUCCUUUGUUAGAACACUUGAGCAGGACGGGCUGGACCUGGGAGAUGGUCACAAGCUAUGCGUGACGAAAUGGCUCGAGCUGCUGAACCUUCCAUGGCAUGGUAACAAGGAGAGAGGAGCUUUUCCAGCAAAAGAAAAGGAGAGAGGAGAAGAAAAUGUUCAAGGAAGCUCAACACGGCAUGUCCAGGCUGCUAACUGGCGUACGCCGAGGCGCAGGAAAGAGGAUCGUGUUCGAGGACUGAGUGAGGUGUUGACACCUCAUCAGCAAGGAAUUUUCAAGAAUGACUUGCAACCAUAUGCACUGAAACUCUCGUGA